Molecule: long non-coding RNA, 2089 nt
Organism: Terrapene triunguis (Three-toed box turtle)
Lineage: Eukaryota; Metazoa; Chordata; Testudines; Emydidae
Exons: 5
Source: RefSeq, a predicted model, not a curated record
UUCAUUGAGCGGGGCCGAUGUAGAUGGGACUGGAGAGGGUGGCAGGGCUGAGGGCAAGAUUUCCAGCACCAAUAGAGCUCUGUGUAAUGAUGGUUCUUGCUUGGCUUUAUUAGUUGGCAGAGGAAUCGUCCAGGAGCCCUAGCCGCACAAGAAUAUGGCGGAAGUGGACCUGAGCAGCCUGGACAUCCUUCUAAGGAGACAUGAAUAGUCCUCAUGUUUCUGCCUUCUGCAUCGCUGGCUAUGAGUAAGAGUACCAAGGGAAAUGAAGUCACGCGUCAGAGUCUACCGCCCUCAUGCGAUGGAAAGCGAGCGAGAGCGUCGAGACUCUGAGCAUUGUUGAUGCCACGCAAAAGCCUUCCAUCUGGGAGCCGAGGAGACGCUGCUGUCAGUGAGAUAAGUGUUUGGUUUCAUGAGAGCUCUGCUCACGCCCAACCUGAGUCCAGGUAGGGAAGCCCCGUACGGUAGGGCUGGGUUUGUAUGUAAAGGUUCCUGACUAGCUGUGGUCACGUGGGAGAAAAGGUCCCUAUUUUGAGAGGUUGCUCAUUUCUCUGGUCAGGAACGGUGUCUCCUCCGCAGCAGAAGGUUGCAUCCAGGAGGAUGACUCCAGGUGUUUGCAGAGGAAUCGUCCAGGAGCCCUAGCCGGACAAGAAUAUGGCGGAAGUGGACCUGAGCAGCCUGGACAUCCUUCUAAGGAGACAUGAAUAGUCCUCAUGUUUCUGCCUUCUGCAUCGCUGGCUGUGAGGAAGAGGUUUAGUACCAAGGAAAACAAAGUCACGCGUCAGAGUCUACUGCCCUCAUACGAUGGAAAGCGAGCGAGAGCGUCUAGACUCUGAGCAUUGCUGAUGCCACGCAAAAGCCGUCCAUCUGGGAGCCGAGGGGACGCCGCUGUCAGGGAGAUAAGUGUCUGGUUUGGUGAGGGCUCUGCUCACGCCCAACCUGAGUCCAGGUUGGGAAGCCCACUAAGUUAGGGCUGGGUUUGUAUGAAAAGGUUCCUGACUAGCUGUCGUUACGAGGGGGAAAGGUCCCUAUUUUCAGAGGUUGCUCAUUUCUCUGGUCAGGAACGGUGUCUCCUCCGCAGCAGAAGGUUGGAUUCAGGAGGAUGACUCCAGGUGGUCAGUUGCUUGCUUUCCUCCCAUUUUCCUCUCUCUCUCUCUCCUCUUGUGUGUUGGCCAACUUUCUCACUCUUUCCUCUCCUGUUCUCGUGCCGUCUCUCUUCGUAGGACACGGGCAUGCGUGCUAGGUGUGCAUCCCUGCAGGCCAGGUCUUGGGAGCCAUGGAGAAGUAGGAGGGGACGAAAACCAUGCAGGGCUGUGACUGUCGGUGUUAACUCGGUCUCUGUUCAUCGAGUGGGGCUGACUUAGAUCGGAUUGGAGAGGCAGGCCAGGAUGAGGGCAAGAUUUGAAGCAACAAAUAGAGCUUUAAGUAGUGAUGGCUCAUGCUUGGCUUUUGCAGCUUGGCUUCCAGAGGAAUUUUCCAAGAGCCCUAGCCUGAGGAGAAAGUGGCACUAGUGGACAUUAGCAGACGGGACAUCCUUGUCAGCAGACAUGAACAGUCCUCCGCUUUCUGACUCCCGCAUAACUGGCUGACCGAGGGAAAAGAAGUCACGCGUCAGAGUCUCAAGCCCUCAUGCGAUGGAAAGCGAGCCAGAGCGACGAGACCGCGAACAUUGUUGAUGCCAGGCAAGGGUCGUCUAUCUGGGAUGCGAGCACACGCCACUCUCAGUGAGAUAAGUGUCUGGUUUGGUGAUUGCUGUGCUCACGGCCCACCUUGCUCCUGCUAGGGACGCCACGUUAGCUGGGGCUGGGUUUGUAAGAAAUGGUUCCUGACCAGCUGUGCUUACGAGAGAGACAAGGUCCCCAUUUUCAGGGUCUGCUCAUUUCUCUGGCCAGGAGCGGUGUCUCCUGCGCAGCGGAAGGGUGCAUCUAGGAGGAUGACUCCAGGUGGUAAGUUGCUUGCCUCCCUCCCAUGUCUGUCUCUCUCCCUUCUCUAGUGUGUUGGCCAACUUUCUCACUGUCUCGCCUCUCCUCUCCUCUCCUCUCCUCGUGCCGUCUCCCUUCGUAGGACACGGGCAGGCGUGCUAGGUGUGCAU